UACGUAGGGUGCGAGCGUUGUCCGGAAUGACUGGGCGUAAAGGGCGCGUAGGCGGCUUGCACAGUCAGGCGUGAAAUUCCUGGGCUCAACCUGGGGACUGCGCUUGAGACGUGUGGGCUUGAGUGGGGAAGAGGGUCGUGGAAUUCCCAGUGUAGAGGUGAAAUUCGUAGAUAUUGGGAAGAACACCGGUGGCGAAGGCGGCGACCUGGUCCUUGACUGACGCUGAGGCGCGAAAGCGUGGGGAGCAAACAGG
This 253-nucleotide ribosomal RNA is filed under the name uncultured bacterium. RNAcentral describes it as "partial 16S ribosomal RNA". It matches the Rfam family "Bacterial small subunit ribosomal RNA", at positions 524 to 776 of the family's 1533-position model. The record is from RNAcentral.